Molecule: long non-coding RNA, 736 nt
Organism: Fundulus heteroclitus (mummichog)
Lineage: Eukaryota; Metazoa; Chordata; Actinopteri; Cyprinodontiformes; Fundulidae
Exons: 2
Source: RefSeq, a predicted model, not a curated record
UAACAUAAAGUUUCAGAGCGCAGCUGCAUCCUAUGUGGGGAGAUCUGCGCGCUUGGCGUAGAAACCGUGCUUCUCUGUGCGUGCUUUUUUGGGGGGGUAUUUGCUAGAAGGGGAAAGGAGGGAGGAGGGCAAAAAAAAAAAGGGGGGGGGGAUUGUUUAAGUAAAACGCAGCUUAUGGUCCAACUUUGAGCCGUUGCUGGCCUCUCUCCAAGAUAUAGUUUGCGUCUCCAAAGCGCAAACCUCCCCCAUUUAGGCUACACUGAGUCCAGAGCUUCUGUUUUCCGAGCAAGAGUUGAGUCUCCAUCCAUCCCGAUUGUCGUUUUACCCGACUGAAAACACGGCGCGGUUGACAUGUUGCACCGUGAAUCAAAGCUAAACAAGGAUAUCAGUGACCAAACAGUGUGUAAAACCUCUGGAGUCAAGGCCUGACUUCAUCGCUGAUCUUUAGUGAGCUGGCUGGUCCCUGUUCCAAUCCAGUGCCUGGAAUAAUCUACUCCAGCGCUUCUCCCACCCAGCUCCACCUUUUAUUGCCCCGGGAAGAGAAGGGAACGAAGGAGCAAUAGCAUCUUUUCUAGAGUUAACUUCCAAAAAGCAGGCCAGUGAAUCACAGAGCAAAUCCCUUGACAGGAGACGCUUCAUUUCUGUGGUUAUGGUACAUAAGACGAUGCUGACAUCUAGUGGCAAAUCCAUAUCACCACGUGUAGAAGGAAAUAAAAUAAAUCUGUAAAAAAAUAAA